RNAcentral lists this ribosomal RNA (473 nucleotides) under uncultured bacterium. RNAcentral's name for it is "SSU rRNA". It matches the Rfam family "Bacterial small subunit ribosomal RNA", at positions 26 to 518 of the family's 1533-position model. The record is from RNAcentral.
AGGACGAACGCUGGCGGCGUGCUUAACACAUGCAAGUCGAGCGGAAAGGCCCUUCGGGGUACUCGAGCGGCGAACGGGUGAGUAACACGUGAGCAACCUGCCCUUAGCUCCGGGAUAGCUCCGGGAAACCGGAAUUAAUACCGGAUAUGACCUAGGCCGACAUCGGCUGUGGUGGAAAGUUUUUCGGCUGGGGAUGGACUCGCGGCCUAUCAGCUUGUUGGUGGGGUAAUGGCCUACCAAGGCGACGACGGGUAGCCGGCCUGAGAGGGCGACCGGCCACACUGGGACUGAGACACGGCCCAGACUCCUACGGGAGGCAGCAGUGGGGAAUCUUGCGCAAUGGGCGAAAGCCUGACGCAGCGACGCCGCGUGGGGGAUGAAGGCCUUCGGGUUGUAAACCCCUUUCAGCAGGGACGAAGCGAAAGUGACGGUACUGCAGAAGAAGCGCCGGCUAACUACGCGCCAGCAGCCGC